RNAcentral lists this unclassified non-coding RNA (242 nucleotides) under Hevea brasiliensis (rubber tree). Lineage: Eukaryota; Viridiplantae; Streptophyta; Magnoliopsida; Malpighiales; Euphorbiaceae. The record is from RNAcentral.
AGAGAAAAUGAGAAAGAUGUUGAGGAAAGUGAAAAACAAGAGAGUGAAAAGGAACAGAGUUCAAGAAAAAGAUUAGAGUGAAGAAAAAGAAGAGAAGUACAUACCUCCAGAGCCUUACAAGUUACAAGCCACAGUUUCUCUUUCCACAAAGAUUUCAGAAAGCAAGAUUAAAUAAGCAUUUUGGAAAGUUAUUAGAAGUUUUGAAGAAGUUGUAUAUUAAUGUGCCUUUUAUUGAUGCUCUU